CCGACCUCCGCCACCACUCCGACCCGCCACCGAAUCACUCCGAAACCCAUUUCGCCGGACGAGAGGUACCGAAGAUGGAACAGAAGUGUCGUACGAUUCGAUCGAGUUAAAUCCUAAUGAGGAAGAAGCUGAAAACCUUGGUUUCCGUGCGCAUAGUCGCUCUGAUUAAUUUAAGUCUACUUUAUUUUGGAAGCUUCUAAGUUUAUUUGGAUAUUGUAAUAUUUUGAUUUAUUCGAAACGGUUGUAAAAUAAUGACAUUCGCUUUUGAAAUGGUGAC
Molecule: long non-coding RNA, 277 nt
Organism: Rhododendron vialii
Lineage: Eukaryota; Viridiplantae; Streptophyta; Magnoliopsida; Ericales; Ericaceae
Exons: 2
Source: RefSeq, a predicted model, not a curated record